This 1115-nucleotide ribosomal RNA is filed under the name Segatella copri DSM 18205. Its description in RNAcentral is "bacterial SSU rRNA". It matches the Rfam family "Bacterial small subunit ribosomal RNA", at positions 410 to 1533 of the family's 1533-position model. The record is from RNAcentral. Lineage: Bacteria; Pseudomonadati; Bacteroidota; Bacteroidia; Bacteroidales; Prevotellaceae.
GACGGCCCUAUGGGUUGUAAACUGCUUUUAUAAGGGAAUAAAGUGAGCCUCGUGAGGCUUUUUGCAUGUACCUUAUGAAUAAGGACCGGCUAAUUCCGUGCCAGCAGCCGCGGUAAUACGGAAGGUCCGGGCGUUAUCCGGAUUUAUUGGGUUUAAAGGGAGCGUAGGCCGGAGAUUAAGCGUGUUGUGAAAUGUAGACGCUCAACGUCUGCACUGCAGCGCGAACUGGUUUCCUUGAGUACGCACAAAGUGGGCGGAAUUCGUGGUGUAGCGGUGAAAUGCUUAGAUAUCACGAAGAACUCCGAUUGCGAAGGCAGCUCACUGGAGCGCAACUGACGCUGAAGCUCGAAAGUGCGGGUAUCGAACAGGAUUAGAUACCCUGGUAGUCCGCACGGUAAACGAUGGAUGCCCGCUGUUGGUCUGAACAGGUCAGCGGCCAAGCGAAAGCAUUAAGCAUCCCACCUGGGGAGUACGCCGGCAACGGUGAAACUCAAAGGAAUUGACGGGGGCCCGCACAAGCGGAGGAACAUGUGGUUUAAUUCGAUGAUACGCGAGGAACCUUACCCGGGCUUGAAUUGCAGAGGAAGGAUUUGGAGACAAUGACGCCCUUCGGGGCCUCUGUGAAGGUGCUGCAUGGUUGUCGUCAGCUCGUGCCGUGAGGUGUCGGCUUAAGUGCCAUAACGAGCGCAACCCCUCUCCUUAGUUGCCAUCAGGUUAAGCUGGGCACUCUGGGGACACUGCCACCGUAAGGUGUGAGGAAGGUGGGGAUGACGUCAAAUCAGCACGGCCCUUACGUCCGGGGCUACACACGUGUUACAAUGGCAGGUACAGAGAGACGGUUGUACGUAAGUACGAUCAAAUCCUUAAAGCCUGUCUCAGUUCGGACUGGGGUCUGCAACCCGACCCCACGAAGCUGGAUUCGCUAGUAAUCGCGCAUCAGCCAUGGCGCGGUGAAUACGUUCCCGGGCCUUGUACACACCGCCCGUCAAGCCAUGAAAGCCGGGGGCGCCUAAAGUCCGUGACCGUAAGGAGCGGCCUAGGGCGAAACUGGUAAUUGGGGCUAAGUCGUAACAAGGUAGCCGUACCGGAAGGUGCGGCUGGAACACCUCCUUUCU